Molecule: ribosomal RNA, 497 nt
Filed under: uncultured bacterium
Lineage: Bacteria
Description: partial 16S ribosomal RNA
Rfam family: Bacterial small subunit ribosomal RNA
Source: RNAcentral
GAUGAACGCUGGCGGCGUGCCUAAUACAUGCAAGUCGAGCGAACGGACGAGAAGCUUGCUUCUCUGAUGUUAGCGGCGGACGGGUGAGUAACACGUGGAUAACCUACCUAUAAGACUGGGAUAACUUCGGGAAACCGGAGCUAAUACCGGAUGAUAUUUUGAACCGCAUGGUUCAAAAGUGAAAGACGGUCUUGCUGUCACUUAUAGAUGGAUCCGCGCUGCAUUAGCUAGUUGGUAAGGUAACGGCUUACCAAGGCAACGAUGCGUAGCCGACCUGAGAGGGUGAUCGGCCACACUGGAACUGAGACACGGUCCAGACUCCUACGGGAGGCAGCAGUAGGGAAUCUUCCGCAAUGGGCGAAAGCCUGACGGAGCAACGCCGCGUGAGUGAUGAAGGUCUUCGGAUCGUAAAACUCUGUUAUUAGGGAAGAACAUAUGUGCAAGUAACUGUGCACAUCUUGACGGUACCUAAUCAGAAAGCCACGGCUAACUACGUG